CCGGCAAUAGCUCAGUUGGUAGAGCGGGAGACUGUAGUGAGUGUAAAAACUCAACAUUGGCAUCUCUAGGUCGCUAGUUCAAAUCUGGCUUGCCGGA
This 97-nucleotide transfer RNA is filed under the name Gigaspora margarita. It matches the Rfam family "tRNA". From Rfam's summary of the family: Transfer RNA (tRNA) molecules are approximately 80 nucleotides in length. Their secondary structure includes four short double-helical elements and three loops (D, anti-codon, and T loops). The record is from Rfam by way of RNAcentral. Lineage: Eukaryota; Fungi; Glomeromycota; Glomeromycetes; Diversisporales; Gigasporaceae. RNAcentral also lists the same sequence under 1 other name.